GUCCCUGUAGUGCAAUGGAUAGCAAUUUGGACUUUGAAUCCAAAGAUCCUUCGAAUUCCACCUGGGAUG
Non-coding RNA from Trichonephila clavipes, 69 nucleotides. NCBI's taxonomy places the organism in Eukaryota, Metazoa, Arthropoda, Arachnida, Araneae, Nephilidae. The record is from the annotation of a GenBank genome assembly.